This 392-nucleotide ribosomal RNA is filed under the name uncultured bacterium. Its description in RNAcentral is "partial 16S ribosomal RNA". It matches the Rfam family "Bacterial small subunit ribosomal RNA", at positions 523 to 918 of the family's 1533-position model. The record is from RNAcentral.
AUACGUAGGUGGCAAGCGUUAUCCGGAAUUAUUGGGCGUAAAGAGGGAGCAGGCGGCAGCAAGGGUCUGUGGUGAAAGCCUGAAGCUUAACUUCAGUAAGCCAUAGAAACCAGGCAGCUAGAGUGCAGGAGAGGAUCGUGGAAUUCCAUGUGUAGCGGUGAAAUGCGUAGAUAUAUGGAGGAACACCAGUGGCGAAGGCGACGAUCUGGCCUGCAACUGACGCUCAGUCCCGAAAGCGUGGGGAGCAAAUAGGAUUAGAUACCCUAGUAGUCCACGCCGUAAACGAUGAGUACUAAGUGUUGGAUGUCAAAGUUCAGUGCUGCAGUUAACGCAAUAGGUACUCCGCCUGAGUAGUACGUUCGCAAGAAUGAAACUCAAAUGAAUUGGCGGGG